UUCGAAACUAAACCAUUUCGUUGCCCCCUACACGGCCAACCAUAAAACCUUAUUUAUUCUGAUAUGUUCCAGAUGACAACAACACUCUGUCUGCACCUCCAACAACCAGUAAAGCAGAGGUCCCCGAAAAAACCGAUGCUCCCGUGAAUCAUCAACUUCAAACAACGAACGGGUUUGCUCUACUGAGAAGUUUCUCAACCUCAUUUUUUGGAUUGUGUUGCGUGUUUCUGGCCACGGGUUUCCCUUUAUGAUGUAGCACAGCGCACUGCUUUGGCCUCGUAUGAGAAUAAUCUCCUUUAAGCUGAAAACAAUUUUUAAAAAAUGAAUUUCAAAAUACACCAAAAAAAAAUUAUAAAACGAAGUUAAAAAAAAAUUCUAUGUUGCGAUUGUAUAGGAACGAGUUAGGUUACUGUUGUUAUUAAGAUGGAUCAUAAUGCCAUUUAGUCGGAGAUUCUCGGACUGAGAGACGAUGAUUAAAUGGGAUGAGAUAGUGAAAUGUAAAGGAGAUGACAUGAAGAGAAUUACGGAA
This is a long non-coding RNA of Octopus sinensis (East Asian common octopus), 529 nucleotides long. RefSeq lists it as uncharacterized. The record is from RefSeq and is a predicted model, not a curated record. NCBI's taxonomy places the organism in Eukaryota, Metazoa, Mollusca, Cephalopoda, Octopoda, Octopodidae. The transcript is spliced from 2 exons.